Molecule: long non-coding RNA, 745 nt
Organism: Oreochromis aureus
Lineage: Eukaryota; Metazoa; Chordata; Actinopteri; Cichliformes; Cichlidae
Source: Ensembl
AAGAUGGGAUGUACCACUGUGAGAGUAGCCUGGUGGAAUAAUCCAAGUGAAAAUAUCUUUAAUCUGAAAAGUCAACAUUUGUUUUCAUUGUCACGUUUCUAAGCCCUUACAUGCCUCGACCUUUGCAAACAGCUCAAAUGACUAACUCUGAAAGCGGAAAUAAAUAGCUGGUGAAACAACCCCAAAACAUUAAGUUUAAAAAAAGCACAAAAAAGCACACGGGACAUAACAUGUCCCGUUACAGCGACUCAAAACGAAACUCACGGGCAGAAUAAAAGCUCAGAUGGGGACACAAACUGUGGUUUUCUGGAUGACACAGCUGUAAACCCAGACGGUGUUGGAGAUCCUCUGAAACAAAGACGUGUAAGUUUGUCUUUACGUCGAGACAGCAGGAAAUCACACCAAGAGACAGUUCUACAUCUUCAGAAAUACAAGCAAAGGAGUGCGGAGUCGGGAAAUGGGAAUUCAACAAAACUGAACCAGUCGUCAUUUCAAAGCAAAUCCAAAGAGGGAGAGAGGAAAGAGGGAACGUCAGGAGAAAGUACAUGGUCAGGAAGAAGCAGGUAAGAAAACAGACAGGGAACAGUGACAGGCAAAACAGAAACUAUUAAACUGACAAAGAGAAAAAACCUGAUUUUACUCAUACAAUCAGGAAGUUGUGUCCUCCCUAUAUUAAAGCUGCUAUACAGAAGCUGCAAAACAAACUGGGUUGAAACAUUUUGACCCUCUUUAACAACAUUCCAAC